This 826-nucleotide long non-coding RNA is filed under the name Cricetulus griseus (Chinese hamster). Its description in RNAcentral is "lncRNA (ENSCGRG00015029910.1)". The record is from RNAcentral. Lineage: Eukaryota; Metazoa; Chordata; Mammalia; Rodentia; Cricetidae.
GUGUACAUACAUAUGAGGCCAAAAGUCAACAUCCCUCCUCAGUCACUCAGUCACUAUUUUUAGAGCUAGGGUCUCUCAGUGAAACUGAAGCUCAUUGGUUUAGCUAGGCAGAUUAGCCAAUGAGCUUCAGGAAUCUGUUUGUCUCUACUUCCUGGUGAUAGCAUUCCAGGUUCAGGCAGUCACACCCAGCCUUUUUGUUGUAGUAAUCGUUGUCGUUUUUGUUUGUUUUUUGAAACAGGGUUUCUCUGUGUAGCCCUAGCUGUACUGGAAUAGCUUUGUAGACCAGGUUGGCCUUGAACUCAAGGUGUACAGCCAGCUUUUUUUCUGGGUGCUGGCGUGAGCAAGUCAGGUCCUUAUGUUUGAGUGGGAUGAGCCAUUUACUUACUGGCUUUACAUUUGCAGUUUAAACCAGACUUUUGUUCACAAGGGAAGAAAAUAUGGAGAACGCCAUGAUCAGAAAAAGUCCAAGAGAGGUUGAAUUUUCACUAGUUUUUAAGGUUGUGGAAAGUUUUAGCUUGGAUUCCAGGUUCCAUAGUCUUCUUCGAGUUAACUGCUGUGUGCCGUGGGCAUCUGGGGGACUCAUAAGAAAUGAGAUUUAGUUUCUUGAUGGUGGAGACCUCAAAGACAGUUCUGGACCUAGAGGCUACUGUGACCGGCAGACCUUGAUCCCCGAAAAAAAUGGAGGACAUACAAGGGCGGUGUUUUUUAGCAUAGCAUGGUCGUUGGAAUCAGUCAUUCUCCAACUUAAGCCCCAGCUUUCUCUCUUACCAGCUGCGUGACCUUAAGUAGGUUCAUUAGCUUCUCUGCGCUUCCGGGCCAUGUCCUC